UGACUAGCGGCGGACGGGUGAGUAAUGUCUGGGAAACUGCCUGAUGGAGGGGGAUAACUACUGGAAACGGUAGCUAAUACCGCAUAACGUCGCAAGACCAAAGAGGGGGACCUUCGGGCCUCUUGCCAUCGGAUGUGCCCAGAUGGGAUUAGCUAGUAGGUGGGGUAACGGCUCACCUAGGCGACGAUCCCUAGCUGGUCUGAGAGGAUGACCAGCCACACUGGAACUGAGACACGGUCCAGACUCCUACGGGAGGCAGCAGUGGGGAAUAUUGCACAAUGGGCGCAAGCCUGAUGCAGCCAUGCCGCGUGUAUGAAGAAGGCCUUCGGGUUGUAAAGUACUUUCAGCGGGGAGGAAGGCGACAGGGUUAAUAACCCUGUCGAUUGACGUUACCCGCAGAAGAAGCACCGGCUAACUCCGUGCCAGCAGCCGCGGUAAUACGGAGGGUGCAAGCGUUAAUCGGAAUUACUGGGCGUAAAGCGCACGCAGGCGGUCUGUCAAGUCGGAUGUGAAAUCCCCGGGCUCAACCUGGGAACUGCAUUCGAAACUGGCAGGCUAGAGUCUUGUAGAGGGGGGGUAGAAUUCCAGGUGUAG
Molecule: ribosomal RNA, 594 nt
Filed under: Enterobacter asburiae
Lineage: Bacteria; Pseudomonadati; Pseudomonadota; Gammaproteobacteria; Enterobacterales; Enterobacteriaceae
Description: bacterial SSU rRNA
Rfam family: Bacterial small subunit ribosomal RNA
Source: RNAcentral